This 298-nucleotide non-coding RNA is filed under the name Furfurilactobacillus siliginis. RNAcentral's name for it is "Lactobacillus siliginis cspA thermoregulator". It matches the Rfam family "cspA thermoregulator", at positions 114 to 428 of the family's 428-position model. The record is from Rfam by way of RNAcentral. Lineage: Bacteria; Bacillati; Bacillota; Bacilli; Lactobacillales; Lactobacillaceae.
CCCAGCUUCAGAUGCAAAAUUAAAUUGCGCAGUUGCGCAUGGAGGUUUCAUUCAUAUGGAACAAGGUACUGUUAAAUGGUUUAACGCUGACAAGGGUUACGGUUUCUUAACUCGCGAAAAUGGUGACGAUGUAUUCGUUCACUUCUCAGCUAUCCAAGGUGACGGCUUCAAGACUUUGGACGAAGGCCAACACGUAACGUUUGAUGUUGAAGAUAGCGACCGUGGCCCACAAGCUACUAACGUUAAUAAAGACUAAUUUAAACGUUAAAAACACUCACCUGUUGGUGGGUGUUUUUUU